Molecule: transfer RNA, 67 nt
Filed under: Dimorphostylis asiatica
Lineage: Eukaryota; Metazoa; Arthropoda; Malacostraca; Cumacea; Diastylidae
Description: tRNA-Met
Source: RNAcentral
AAGAAAAUAAGCUAAAAUAAGCUGAUGGAUUCAUACUCCAUAAAUGAGAUAAAGCUCUCUUUUCUUA